GCUUACGGCCACACCACCCUGAGAAUGCCCGAUCUUGUCUGAUCUCAGAAAGCAAGCAGGGUCGGCCCUAUUUAUCCGUUAUCU
This 84-nucleotide ribosomal RNA is filed under the name Mola mola (ocean sunfish). Lineage: Eukaryota; Metazoa; Chordata; Actinopteri; Tetraodontiformes; Molidae. The record is from RNAcentral.